This 492-nucleotide ribosomal RNA is filed under the name uncultured bacterium. RNAcentral's name for it is "partial 16S ribosomal RNA". It matches the Rfam family "Bacterial small subunit ribosomal RNA", at positions 29 to 507 of the family's 1533-position model. The record is from RNAcentral.
AGUGAACGCUGGCGGUAGGCCUAACACAUGCAAGUCGAACGGCAGCACAGUAAGAGCUUGCUCUUACGGGUGGCGAGUGGCGGACGGGUGAGGAAUACAUCGGAAUCUACUUUUUCGUGGGGGAUAACGUAGGGAAACUUACGCUAAUACCGCAUACGACCUACGGGUGAAAGCAGGGGAUCUUCGGACCUUGCGCGAUUGAAUGAGCCGAUGUCGGAUUAGCUAGUUGGCGGGGUAAAGGCCCACCAAGGCGACGAUCCGUAGCUGGUCUGAGAGGAUGAUCAGCCGCACUGGAACUGAGACACGGUCCAGACUCCUACGGGAGGCAGCAGUGGGGAAUAUUGGACAAUGGGCGCAAGCCUGAUCUAGCCAUACCGCGUGGGUGAAGAAGGCCUUCGGGUUGUAAAGCCCUUUUGUUGGGAAAGAAAAGCAGCAGGUUAAUACCCCGCUGUUCUGACGGUACCCAAAGAAUAAGCACCGGCUAACUUCGUG